RNAcentral lists this ribosomal RNA (444 nucleotides) under uncultured bacterium. RNAcentral describes it as "bacterial SSU rRNA". It matches the Rfam family "Bacterial small subunit ribosomal RNA", at positions 338 to 795 of the family's 1533-position model. The record is from RNAcentral.
CCUACGGGUGGCUGCAGUCGAGAAUCUUCCGCAAUGGACGAAAGUCUGACGGAGCGACGCCGCGUGGAGGAUGAAGUGCUUCGGUAUGUAAACUCCUUUUGCCAGGGAAAAAGUUUAUUGAUUGUACCUGGAGAAUAAGAGGUUGCUAAACUCGUGCCAGCAGCAGCGGUAAUACGAGUGCCUCAAGCGUUAUCCGGAAUUAUUGGGCGUAAAGGGUGCGUAGGUGGUUAUGUUAGUCUUCUGUUAAAUUUACUGGCUCAACCGGUAAGCUGCAGAGGAAACGGCAUGACUUGAGGUAGGAAGGGGUUUGCGGAACUCAUAGUGUAGCGGUGAAAUGCGUUGAUAUUAUGGGGAACACCAAAAGCGAAGGCAGCAAACUGGUCCGUACCUGACACUGAGGCACGAAAGCGUGGGUCGCGAAUGGGAUUAGAUACCCGAGUAGUC